This 1522-nucleotide ribosomal RNA is filed under the name Shigella boydii. Its description in RNAcentral is "bacterial SSU rRNA". It matches the Rfam family "Bacterial small subunit ribosomal RNA". Lineage: Bacteria; Pseudomonadati; Pseudomonadota; Gammaproteobacteria; Enterobacterales; Enterobacteriaceae. The record is from RNAcentral.
AGAGUUUGAUCAUGGCUCAGAUUGAACGCUGGCGGCAGGCCUAACACAUGCAAGUCGAACGGUAACAGGAAACAGCUUGCUGUUUCGCUGACGAGUGGCGGACGGGUGAGUAAUGUCUGGGAAACUGCCUGAUGGAGGGGGAUAACUACUGGAAACGGUAGCUAAUACCGCAUAAUGUCGCAAGACCAAAGAGGGGGACCUUCGGGCCUCUUGCCAUCGGAUGUGCCCAGAUGGGAUUAGCUUGUUGGUGGGGUAACGGCUCACCAAGGCGACGAUCCCUAGCUGGUCUGAGAGGAUGACCAGCCACACUGGAACUGAGACACGGUCCAGACUCCUACGGGAGGCAGCAGUGGGGAAUAUUGCACAAUGGGCGCAAGCCUGAUGCAGCCAUGCCGCGUGUAUGAAGAAGGCCUUCGGGUUGUAAAGUACUUUCAGCGGGGAGGAAGGGAGUAAAGUUAAUACCUUUGCUCAUUGACGUUACCCGCAGAAGAAGCACCGGCUAACUCCGUGCCAGCAGCCGCGGUAAUACGGAGGGUGCAAGCGUUAAUCGGAAUUACUGGGCGUAAAGCGCACGCAGGCGGUUUGUUAAGUCAGAUGUGAAAUCCCCGGGCUCAACCUGGGAACUGCAUCUGAUACUGGCAAGCUUGAGUCUCGUAGAGGGGGGUAGAAUUCCAGGUGUAGCGGUGAAAUGCGUAGAGAUCUGGAGGAAUACCGGUGGCGAAGGCGGCCCCCUGGACGAAGACUGACGCUCAGGUGCGAAAGCGUGGGGAGCAAACAGGAUUAGAUACCCUGGUAGUCCACGCCGUAAACGAUGUCGACUUGGAGGUUGUGCCCUUGAGGCAUGGCUUCCGGAGCUAACGCGUUAAGUCGACCGCCUGGGGAGUACGGCCGCAAGGUUAAAACUCAAAUGAAUUGACGGGGGCCCGCACAAGCGGUGGAGCAUGUGGUUUAAUUCGAUGCAACGCGAAGAACCUUACCUGGUCUUGACAUCCACGGAAGUUUUCAGAGAUGAGAAUGUGCCUUCGGGAACCGUGAGACAGGUGCUGCAUGGCUGUCGUCAGCUCGUGUUGUGAAAUGUUGGGUUAAGUCCCGCAACGAGCGCAACCCUUAUCCUUUGUUGCCAGCGGUCCGGCCGGGAACUCAAAGGAGACUGCCAGUGAUAAACUGGAGGAAGGUGGGGAUGACGUCAAGUCAUCAUGGCCCUUACGACCAGGGCUACACACGUGCUACAAUGGCGCAUACAAAGAGAAGCGACCUCGCGAGAGCAAGCGGACCUCAUAAAGUGCGUCGUAGUCCGGAUUGGAGUCUGCAACUCGACUCCAUGAAGUCGGAAUCGCUAGUAAUCGUGGAUCAGAAUGCCACGGUGAAUACGUUCCCGGGCCUUGUACACACCGCCCGUCACACCAUGGGAGUGGGUUGCAAAAGAAGUAGGUAGCUUAACCUUCGGGAGGGCGCUUACCACUUUGUGAUUCAUGACUGGGGUGAAGUCGUAACAAGGUAACCGUAGGGGAACCUGCGGUUG